This 244-nucleotide ribosomal RNA is filed under the name uncultured Bacillus sp. RNAcentral describes it as "partial 16S ribosomal RNA". It matches the Rfam family "Bacterial small subunit ribosomal RNA", at positions 1140 to 1374 of the family's 1533-position model. The record is from RNAcentral. Lineage: Bacteria; Bacillati; Bacillota; Bacilli; Caryophanales; Bacillaceae.
UCUAGCGAACUGCCGUUGACAAAACGGAGGAAAGGUGGGGAUGACGUCAAAUCAUCAUGCCCCUUAUGUUCUGGGCUACACACGUGCUACAAUGGCCGGUACAGACGGACGCAAAGCCGCGAGGUGGAGCAAAUCCUAAAAAAGCCGGUCUCAGUUCGGAUUGCAGGCUGCAAUUCGCCUGCAUGAAGUCGGAAUCGCUAGUAAUCGCAGGUCAGCAUACUGCGGUCGAAUACGUUCCGGCCUU